CGUGGUCCGGUGCUGUAAACAUCCCCGACUGGAAGCUGUUCCCGUCCAGCUUUCAGUCAGAUGUUUGCUGCACCUGGCUGCG
This 82-nucleotide microRNA precursor is filed under the name Columba livia (rock pigeon). RNAcentral's name for it is "microRNA cli-mir-30d precursor". Its record names the gene cli-mir-30d. The stretch from base 6 to 77 matches the Rfam family "mir-30 microRNA precursor family". From Rfam's summary of the family: This family consists of the mammalian microRNA (miRNA) precursor mir-30a. The record is from miRBase by way of RNAcentral. Lineage: Eukaryota; Metazoa; Chordata; Aves; Columbiformes; Columbidae.